GGAGUGGGAGCGCCUGGACCCAGCACGGAGGGACUUCUGCAGAGAGAGUGUGCAGAAGGAUUCCGGGAGCACAGUUCCGCCGAGUGACACUGUUUAUGGACCGUAAGAGCUGAUCGCUGUCUGAAGGCUUGCCCACAGACCUUACACUCAAAAGGAUUCUCUAAAAAGUGAAUUCUUUGAUGUUGAUCAAACCAUGCCUUACGCCUAAUGACUUUUCCACAUUCACUGCAUUCAUAAGACUUUGCUCUUGUGAGAAUUUGCUCGUGCCCCAAAAGCAAAGAUCUUUGAUUGAAGGGUUUGCCAUCCUCAUCAUAUCUGCCCUGCUUCCACCUUGUUUGUGCGUUCUGGUCUUGAAUAAGGUUAAGGUUUUGAAGGAAGCCUCUGCUGUAUUCAUCACCACUAGUAGGGAAAGUAAGCCUGCAACUGUCCACAAAUUCUUUACACUUAUGUAACGUUUUUGAAAGUUUCUCAGCUGAUUCCUGCAUUACCACUGAUAUCUUAUAUGAGUCUAAAUCUUCAGAAAAUUUC
RNAcentral lists this small RNA (528 nucleotides) under Pongo abelii (Sumatran orangutan). RNAcentral describes it as "processed transcript". Lineage: Eukaryota; Metazoa; Chordata; Mammalia; Primates; Hominidae. The record is from RNAcentral.